This 1015-nucleotide long non-coding RNA is filed under the name Citrus maxima (pomelo). Its description in RNAcentral is "long non-coding RNA (CMAX_LNC001294)". Lineage: Eukaryota; Viridiplantae; Streptophyta; Magnoliopsida; Sapindales; Rutaceae. The record is from RNAcentral.
AGCUGCUAUAGCUCAGAUUGUAUCAAUCAACUUUAUUCAGUAAAAAAUUCUAGAUUAAUCUAGAUUCUUCUUAUUCAUUUCCCCUCUUCUUUUCUCAUGCUCCAAACAGUUUAUCGACUCCAAUAUAAAUUUACGUUGAUUUUGGGUGUCCUGGAGAAGAGUGGUGAGACCAAGGAUUUAGCUGCCGGCGAUGGACCGUAUAACCUACCUCAAUUGUUCUUGUGCUAGGUUUGAAAUUAACUAUUCACUAAAGAAGAGCGGAAGGAGGAUGUUCAAGUCUGAACUGUUUCAAAUUGGGGAUGUCUUGAACGUUAGGACCUCCAGGCUGUUGAUGCAUUUCCAAAACUGUUAAUUAGCUAUCGAAGAAAUUGCUGCCUCAACAGGCAUGAUGCUAAGGUGCUAAAAUCCUCAUUCCAAUCUCUUACAUCAUUUAUAUUAUGAUUCUUUAUUCUAAACUGGAGAAUCUUCCAUAGGUUUGUAAAAAAAGACCGGUAAUUUUCGUUUACUUGCUUCUGCAGAGUAGCUGUCUUGGCUGGAAUUUCGUUUCCGUUUCCAUUGUUCGAGCACAAACAGAAACAGUGCUAGUUUUCUAUAAUUCUUGGUAGUCACAAAACUACUCUACUUGUUGUUAUUAUGGCUUAAAUUUGUGUUAUUUUCACAAUAUUUCUUUGAAUUGUUGUUGCUCUCGUUUAAGAUAUAACACCAUUUUCAUCAUAUUUCUUUUAGCAGUGAGAUUGAGGAGACAGGACAAUGAUUGGACACUUUUAGCUUCUUCUACUUUUAUUAGUGCAUUAGGUGCUAUCCACUAAUAACCGCAAGUUUGAUUACAAUACUGCUACUAGCUAGAAAAUGAGGAUUUACUUUUAUAUGUUGUUCUGUAAUUAAUUCCAAACUCUAUGUUAAACCUUUGAGCAAACUUAAUAAUGUCUUCAAUUUCAGAUGAUAAGAUGUUCUCUGAAGCAAGCAAAAUUUUUCGCGAGGAUUUUCCUCACAUCAGAUGAAAUGACUUUUGACA